CCUACGGGAGGCAGCAGUGGGGAAUCUUGCGCAAUGGGCGAAAGCCUGACGCAGCAACGCCGCGUGCGGGAAGAAGGCUUUCGGGCUGUAAACCGCUUUCAGCAGGAACGAAAAUGACGGUACCUGCAGAAGAAGGAGCGGCCAACUAUGUGCCAGCAGCCGCGGUGAUACAUAGGCUUCAAGCGUUGUCCGGAUUUAUUGGGCGUAAAGAGUUCGUAGGCGGUCAAGUAAGUCGGGUGUGAAAAUUCUGGGCUCAACCCAGAGACGCCACCCGAUACUGCUUAACUUGAGUUCGAUAGGGGAGUGGGGAAUUCCUAGUGUAGCGGUGAAAUGCGCAGAUAUUAGGAGGAACACCGGUGGCGAAGGCGCCACUCUGGAUCGAUACUGACGCUGAGGAACGAAAGCAUGGGUAGCAAACAGGAUUAGAUACCCUGGUAGUCCAUGCCGUAAACGGUGGGCACUAGGUGUGGGUUUCUAUUAACGAAAUCCGCGCCGUCGCUAACGCAUUAAGUGCCCCGCCUGGGGGAGGUACGGUCGCGAAGAACUAAAACUUAAAAGUAAAGUUAGUACGGCGUGAGACGUGCCGAACGGACGACGACCGAAGGGAGGUAGG
RNAcentral lists this ribosomal RNA (613 nucleotides) under uncultured bacterium. Its description in RNAcentral is "bacterial SSU rRNA". It matches the Rfam family "Bacterial small subunit ribosomal RNA", at positions 338 to 1435 of the family's 1533-position model. The record is from RNAcentral.